Molecule: unclassified non-coding RNA, 234 nt
Filed under: Hevea brasiliensis (rubber tree)
Lineage: Eukaryota; Viridiplantae; Streptophyta; Magnoliopsida; Malpighiales; Euphorbiaceae
Source: RNAcentral
AUUUGAUAAUAAUCGAUUGCUAAUCAUACAUAUAAUCAAAUUAAUAUAAGUUACAAAGUGGGAAAAAAAAAGUUAUAAAAUAAUUGAAGAAUGCAAAAAAGCGAAUCAAAUCGGACAAAUCUUGAGUGGCUUUUUUUUUUAAUGAUAUUCUAACAAAAUUAUGAAUAGAUUGAUUCAUCAAAGUGGUCUUCCUCUUCUCCUUGAACCUAAUGAUUAGAUGUGGAACUAGUAUGG